CCUACGGGGGGCUGCAGUGGGGAAUAUUGGACAAUGGGCGAAAGCCUGAUCCAGCCAUGCCGCGUGUGUGAAGAAGGCCUUCGGGUUGUAAAGCACUUUCAGUGGGGAAGAAAGCCUUGGGGCUAAUACCCUCGAGGAAGGACAUCACCCACAGAAGAAGCACCGGCUAACUCCGUGCCAGCAGCCGCGGUAAUACGGAGGGUGCGAGCGUUAAUCGGAAUUACUGGGCGUAAAGCGCGCGUAGGCGGUCUGAUAAGCCGGUUGUGAAAGCCCCGGGCUCAACCUGGGAACGGCAUCCGGAACUGUCAGGCUAGAGUGCAGGAGAGGAAGGUAGAAUUCCCGGUGUAGCGGUGAAAUGCGUAGAGAUCGGGAGGAAUACCAGUGGCGAAGGCGGCCUUCUGGACUGACACUGACGCUGAGGUGCGAAAGCGUGGGUAGCAAACAGGAUUAGAUACCUUGUAGUC
Molecule: ribosomal RNA, 464 nt
Filed under: Vreelandella stevensii
Lineage: Bacteria; Pseudomonadati; Pseudomonadota; Gammaproteobacteria; Oceanospirillales; Halomonadaceae
Description: partial 16S ribosomal RNA
Rfam family: Bacterial small subunit ribosomal RNA
Source: RNAcentral